UCCGGGUGGACGCCGAAUCCUGCCAUCGCCCGGAAUCCCCACUCACACACGUGUUGGCAGGAGCGGGGGAUCCCACAGGUAGUACGCCGGUUCCGGGUCUCCGGACCGGCUUGGGGUGAAGUCGCGCUGAAAAGGCGGCCGGACAUCUCCAGUCCGAACCCGACAGCUCACCUCGCAGGCGCCGGAGAGGAAUU
This 194-nucleotide small RNA is filed under the name Streptomyces sp. RNAcentral describes it as "c-di-AMP sequence". It matches the Rfam family "c-di-AMP riboswitch aptamer (ydaO/yuaA leader)". From Rfam's summary of the family: This family represents a conserved RNA structure found upstream of the ydaO and yuaA genes in Bacillus subtilis and related genes in other bacteria. Lineage: Bacteria; Bacillati; Actinomycetota; Actinomycetes; Kitasatosporales; Streptomycetaceae. The record is from RNAcentral.